Molecule: unclassified non-coding RNA, 326 nt
Filed under: soil metagenome
Description: partial contains 5.8S ribosomal RNA, internal transcribed spacer 2, and large subunit ribosomal RNA
Rfam family: 5.8S ribosomal RNA (bases 1-117)
Source: RNAcentral
GAAGAACGUAGCGAAAUGCGAUAAGUAAUGUGAAUUGCAGAAUUCAGUGAAUCAUCGAAUCUUUGAACGCACAUUGCGCCCCUUGGUAUUCCGAGGGGCAUGCCUGUUCGAGCGUCAUUAUAACCCCUCAAGCUCAGCUUGGUGUUGGGGCCUGCUGCACUGGCAGCCCUUAAAAUCAGUGGCGGCGCCAUCUGGCUCUAAGCGUAGUAAUUCUUCUCGCUAUGGAGUCCUGGUGGAUGCUUGCCAUCAACCCCCAAUUUUUCUAUGGUUGACCUCGGAUCAGGUAGGGAUACCCGCUGAACUUAAGCAUAUCAAUAAGCGGAGGA